AGCAACCGGAGACGCGCGAAUCGGCCUGCACCUACAAGGUGACAGGCGUUCCCCAUACAGUUCUUUUUUGGAUAUGCUUUUCUUACCGCUUCCCGCGCCUGAGUAACCAAGGGCACUGAAAGUCAAUGAACUGCAAAAAAAUUGAAUCUACAACAAUGGUGAAAAAUGUUUGCCCUGACCUCAUCUCUACAACAGUUCCUCUGCCCUUCCUGCAAGCAUAGAUCGGAGCUCCUCUCUGUAGUCAAACAGCCCAGGAUUGGAAUCUUUGCUGCUCUGAGAUUUCAGAAAGGUAUUGGACUUGCUCAAGUCUUGUUCCUCCUCUGCAAAAUGAGAACAGUUAUACCUUCUUAUAGUGUUGCAAGAAUUAAGUAAAACAAUGAGUUUCCUUGAGAUAGUUUGCUUUUUUGUUUAUCGGAAAAGAAAUAAUCAACACAACAAUGAUAUGAACUGAUGUUAGAUUUUAAAAUGCAGGGAAUGGAGCUAACUAAGAGGACAGCAGGGUAAUUCAUGUCAUUAAGCCAAAAAACAUUGAACAACAGAGUUCAAAAAUCUGGGCAGAUAUCAGUUCAGCUUCAAGAAUCCCAACAGCUGUUGCCUUCACUCAAGAAUGUCCUGCCAUUAACAUGACUCAUCUUCAAACUUCUUUAGUGUGCACAUCACUCAGUACAAAUUUUUAAGAAAAAGAAUCAGAUUGCAUCCCCCCUGCCUAACAGAUGGGCUUUUCUUCGCCAGCAUUCCCUCCAAAUGCAAUCGACCGUGGCUAGAGAGGAGGCUCCCAGAACACAAAGAGGUUUGCAGAAUAUUUCAAGAGAUCAAGGUUGGCGCGCACCCCUAGAAGUAUGUGGCUCCAGUACUUGGAAAUUCCUGGCACGUAAUGAGCACUUUAAUGAGUCUUAGCUAUUGUUACUGCUUGUAGAAUAACCUGCAAUUUCCAGCCUCCAUUCAUUUGAUUAUACCAUUUCUUUUAGUGCUGAAAUGUUACCUCCCCUUU
Molecule: long non-coding RNA, 991 nt
Organism: Talpa occidentalis (Iberian mole)
Lineage: Eukaryota; Metazoa; Chordata; Mammalia; Eulipotyphla; Talpidae
Exons: 3
Source: RefSeq, a predicted model, not a curated record